Non-coding RNA from Salvia hispanica, 381 nucleotides. The record is from RefSeq and is a predicted model, not a curated record. NCBI's taxonomy places the organism in Eukaryota, Viridiplantae, Streptophyta, Magnoliopsida, Lamiales, Lamiaceae.
CUUCUGUGUUGUUUUUUCUUCCGUUUCCGGAAAUUAAUCUGGAUUUUUUGUUCGACAGGUAGUGCUGGAGAUAUAUGAUUAUUAUCCUGGUUCAGAAGAUCUGAAUUGGAAGUUGUGAUUUAUUGUUCUUUCAUCGUCAAUCGGGACGUGCAUGGCGGAAUUACUGUGUUUAGACAUAUAAUUUCAGCAAAUAUGAUUCUCUGUUCACCGCUUCUGAGACGAUGAUAUGAAUGCUUCGCUUCGAAAUCCAGAUUUCGUUAGAUUUGGAUGGUUCUGUUAGCUGAUUUAUCUAAUUUCUAGAAGCAGAAGGAAAAUCUGGAUUGUAUGAGGAAGAACAGAGUACAGUGAACAGAAUUGAAGUUCGCCGAUUUGAAGAUUUGA